This 85-nucleotide transfer RNA is filed under the name Gramella jeungdoensis. RNAcentral describes it as "tRNA-Leu". It matches the Rfam family "tRNA". Rfam says of the family: Transfer RNA (tRNA) molecules are approximately 80 nucleotides in length. Lineage: Bacteria; Pseudomonadati; Bacteroidota; Flavobacteriia; Flavobacteriales; Flavobacteriaceae. The record is from RNAcentral. RNAcentral also lists the same sequence under 1 other name.
GCGGGCGUGGUGGAAUUGGUAGACACGCUAGACUUAGGAUCUAGUGCCGCAAGGUGUGAGAGUUCGAGUCUCUCCGCCCGCACUA